This 2561-nucleotide long non-coding RNA is filed under the name Sus scrofa (pig). RNAcentral describes it as "lncRNA (ENSSSCG00025003516.1)". The record is from RNAcentral. Lineage: Eukaryota; Metazoa; Chordata; Mammalia; Artiodactyla; Suidae.
UUUUUUUUUCAUUUUUUUUUCUUUUUAAGGCUGCAUCUGGAGCACAUGGAAGUUCCCCGGCUUGGGGUCAAAUCAGAGCUGGAGCUGAGACCUACACCAUAGCCAUGGCAAAAAUGGAUCUAAGCUGUAGCUUGUAACAACCCCAGAACCUUAAUCCAUUGACUUAAACCCGAAUCCUCACAGACAUGAUGUCAGGAACUUAACCUGCUGAGCCACAAAGAGAACUCUGGAUGUUUUUGAAUAAUACAAGUUCAAUAUAUUAUCACCAAGAAACAACAGUCACAAUCCACAUACACAGAUCACUACAGAAAAGGUCGAUUCUGUUUACUCAUUUCUGUUAAAUAAACACAUUGGGAUGUGGGGCAUUAUGUGACAUAUUAUUUACUGAGUCAGAUCAUACAAUGUGUCAAUGCUGACUUUUUGUCUUCAUUAUUUUCCUAAUUACCAAGGCCAACAGUGCUUCAUCUAAAUUAUGUUGUGAAUUCAAGCGAGAAGAUGUGAAGUGUCUUGCUCAUAAGUGGUACAACACCCCUUCUCUCCCUUUGGUCCAUCUUUAAUUAUAAUCAAGGCCAAAGAUCAUGUAAAAAAUCAAAAAAGUACUAAUAGAAACUGGUUCUAAGACAAAGACAAAUACCAUAUGAUAUCACUUAUAACUGGAAUCUAUUAUCCAGCACAAAUGAACAUCUCCGCAGAAAAGAAAAUCAUGGACUUGGAGAAGAGACUUGUGGUUGCCUGAUGGGAGGGGGAGGGAGUGGGAGGGAUCGGGAGCUUGGGCUUAUCAGACACAACCUAGAAUAGAUUUACAAGGAGAUCCUGCCGAAUAGCAUUGAGAACUAUGUCUAGAUACUCAUGUCGCAACAGAAGAAAGGGAGGGGGAAAAAACUGUAACUGCAAUGUAUACAUCUAAGGAUAACCUGACCCCCUUGCUGUACAGGGGGAAAAUAAAAAAAAAAAAAAGAAUGUGAAAUAUAAAUCAUUUGCUAAAUUGUAUCCAUAAUAAAAAGUAAAUACAAGCAAAUAAAACUCUUCCUAAAUGAAAAAAAAAUGACAAAAAAGAAAAAAAAAAAAGAAAAAAGAAACUGGUUCUAAACAUGUUUCAUGGCACUUAGUGUGGAUUAAUAAUCCAACUAAUAUUGUCCAAUGAGGUACUGAUAAUGUGUAAUUAAUUUUUCUUUAAAUAUACUAAUUCAUUUUAGCAACAGGGAAAAUUCAACAUCAUAACUAAGCUACAUAGUUACUGCAUAAGCCAUAAAAUAAUUUAAUUUGAUGUGAAUGAUGACAUUAAUAGGUAUAUAAAUCUGAACUAUUAAAGAAAAUAUUUUGUAAGAGAAAUUUUGUACUUUAUGUAGUAGCUCCCAACUUUCCAUUACAAGAACUGAAGAGAUCAUGUCACCCAAUGAUCCUUUGUUGAAACAUCUUGAACAUCUCUUCAAAAGAUAUAGAGACUGAGUAUCACUAUGCAUCUCACCUAAUAAUAUAUAAUCUAGAUUUAUAGGAAAUUUAAAUAACACUCAACUAAAGAUGACAUAAUCUAAUUUCUUUUUGAAGAGGAUAAGUUCAAAGGUGAUACUCUCUUUUAAAAUACACUUUCCUUCUUUUAUGCCAACUAGCAUCGUCUGACUAUAGAGCUAAGGCUUCAGCUGAAGGGAGCUGAGAGGGCAGACCCAGGAAGGGUGGGGGGCGGGGAGUGGGGUGGUGAAAUUCAUGUGCUCCAACCCAUGCUUACUUGCCUUUUUCACUUUUCUGAAUAUCACAGCUAGGCUAAAUCAUAAGCACCUUUCAGACUCCAAAAUUUUCAUCUUGUAGCUAUCCUUUGUGGUAGUGCUGAAGCAGUCAGCUAAGCUGUCCAAACUGUCAGGUACAAAAAACCUCCUAUGGCUAGGAUUUCCAGUACUAUGUUGAAUAACAGUGGAGAGAGUGGACAUCUUUGUCUUGUUCCAGAUUUUAGUGGGAAGGCUUUCAGCUUUUCUCCAUUGAGUAAUAUAUUUGCUAUGGGUUUGUCAGAAAUGGCUUUGAUUAUGUUAAGGAAUGUUCCCUCUAUAUUCACUUUGGUAAGAGUUUUUACCAUGAAUGGAUGUUGGACUUUGUCAAAUGCUAUUUCUGUAUCUAUUGAGAUGAUCAUGUGGUUUUUGACUUUUCUUAAUGUGAUGUAUGAUGUUGAUUGAUUUGCAUAUGAUAAACCAUCCUUGUGCACCUGGGAUGAAUCCCACCUGGUCAUGUUGUAUGAUCUUUUUGUAUGUUGUUGGAUUCGAUUGGCUAAAAUUUUGUUAAGAAUUUUUGCAUCUAUAUUCAUCAAACAUAUCAGUCUAUAGUUUUCUUUUAUGGUGGUAUCUCUGUCUGCUUUUGGAAUUAGGGUGAUGGUGGCAUAAUAGAAUGUCUUUGGUAGUGUUCCUUCUUCAUCAACCUUUUGGAAAAGUUUGAGGAGGAUGGGCACCAGUUCCUCUUUGUAUGUUUGGUAGAAUACACCUGGGAAGCCAUCUGGUCCUGGACUUUUAUUUGUACGGAGUGUUUUCAUGACAUAUUCAAUUUCAUUUCUAGUGAUCACUCUGUUCAGUUGAUCU